CAGUCGCCACGGUAAUACGUAGGUGGCAAGCGUUGUCCGGAAUUAUUGGGCGUAAAGCGCGCGCAGGUGGUUUAAUAAGUCUGAUGUGAAAGCCCACGGCUCAACCGUGGGGGGUCAUUGGAAACUGUUAAACUUGAGUGCAGGAGAGAAAAGUGGAAUUCCUAGUGUAGCGGUGAAAUGCGUAGAGAUUAGGAGGAACACCAGUGGCGAAGGCGGCUUUUUGGCCUGUAACUGACACUGAGGCGCGAAAGCGUGGGGAGCAAACAGGAUUAGAUACCCCUGUAGUCCCUGUCUCUUAUAA
Molecule: ribosomal RNA, 301 nt
Filed under: uncultured bacterium
Lineage: Bacteria
Description: partial 16S ribosomal RNA
Rfam family: Bacterial small subunit ribosomal RNA
Source: RNAcentral